Long non-coding RNA from Homo sapiens (human), 652 nucleotides. RefSeq lists it as uncharacterized. The transcript is spliced from 3 exons. The record is from RefSeq and is a predicted model, not a curated record. NCBI's taxonomy places the organism in Eukaryota, Metazoa, Chordata, Mammalia, Primates, Hominidae.
UGUCCAGUAGUGUCAGCCUCAAUGCCCUAACUGACUCAUCUGAGGUAUAACCUUGGCUGUGCUAUGGCUGCCCAAAUUCCUUUAGUUCCUGCCUAUCCAUUUUACAAGUUGGUUCUCCAACCUUGCUGGUGAUCCUCUGGGCUACUUGAUAUCCCUUCAGAAUUUCAUUUAUGUUUAAGUUAGCCAGAGUUGCUUUCUGUUGUGUCUAACUGGUGAUGUUGACUAGUCACAUAGUACCCAGCAUGUUCUCUCUAAAUGGUGGUUCCCAGACAUUCAAGACUUCCUGUCUCAGGUCCAGGCUCAGAAGACACAAACAAACAAGAAACUACGUUUGGUUGUUCCAGCAUAAAACCUUGGGUUUGCAUUGGACAAGAUUGGCUUACUUUGGCCGUGAGGUCGAGGAUGGUGUUGUGUGGGGGGUAAGUCUGAAGCCAACAGCAAUUACAAGAAGAAGAGGAAGAAGAAGAAGGAAGAGGAGGAGGAGGAGGAGAAGAACAAGAAGAAGGAGGAGGAGGAGAAGGAGAAGGAGAAGAAUCGUUAAGUAGCAGCUUUAUACCCAGGCUUCUUGUUACAUAAUGGGGAGGUGAGUGGUUACCCUACAAUUUUAUAGGAGUUAAUGAACUAUUUGGGCUUACAUGCACUCUGUCUGGCU